RNAcentral lists this long non-coding RNA (681 nucleotides) under Nicotiana tabacum (common tobacco). RNAcentral describes it as "long non-coding RNA (NTAB_LNC003574)". The record is from RNAcentral. Lineage: Eukaryota; Viridiplantae; Streptophyta; Magnoliopsida; Solanales; Solanaceae.
GCACCCCAGUUUCUAUCAAGUAUCUGAAAGAAGAACAUAUUACUAUAUUACCAAAAAUGGAAAGUAAACAGUGUGGAGCAAUAGGAGAGAGAACUAGUUUUGAAUUGAAAUUAGAGUAGAUUAAACUACAUUUAAUAAGGAAAGUUAUUAAAUAAGGAAAAUUACCUAAAUAACUGAAUUACGUCCACCUUUAACAAGUAAAUUACCUAAAUAAGGCUACACAUUGUAAAUGUUUUACCAUGUGUCACAAUCUUCAUGCUUCGUCGUAGCACGAUGAAAUAUGUGAUAAAAAUUAAUAUUAUGUACAUCCACCUUCAUCUCUAAUAUCUUUGAAUCCACUCUAUCAAAACUCAAUUUUCAAACUCUAUGAAUUUUCUUGAUUUAGAGCAAACAACAACGUUAUAUUCCAUCUUGUUGGGCUAUGACCCCCUUACUAAUCCAUCUUGACUUAAGAAAGUUUUGCACGAGCCGAGUCAUGACUCAUUUAUGAAAGUUUUGCACGAGCCGAGUCAUGAAUCAUUUAUUAACUGAACCACUUUAUCUUCAUAACUGUCCAUUUGCCGCCUUUUUGAGAAAUGUGAUAAGUGACACUACUUGGUAGUUGACUAGCAUAAAAGAACCUUCAUAGUUAUGUUUAUGGAAAGAAAUAGAUGAAGUUAAUAAAAACAUAGUCUACAAAAG